RNA transcript from Cyclopterus lumpus (lumpfish), 4567 nucleotides. It is a transcript of the gene named tbl1x receptor 1b, with no coding region annotated. The transcript has 17 exons. Lineage: Eukaryota; Metazoa; Chordata; Actinopteri; Perciformes; Cyclopteridae. The record is from RefSeq and is a predicted model, not a curated record.
GAUGGGCGAGGACACUGUUGUUAUGACUGGUGCUUGGCUGCGGGACAAACUUCCAGAACCCUCGGGAUUUUUUUUUUUUUUCAAUGCCGUCUCAUUGGUCGGUUUCAGCGAGGAAAUGUGACUCCAUUUUGCUGUGAACCUGUCAAACGGACCAAGGCGACUUUCCCGUCAGCAAACCACGAGGUGUUGUUUGGUGCUUUUGAGUCUGAGAGUUCUUGCUGAGGAGAACGGAGCUAUGAUACACAUCUGAAGACAUCUCGAUCACAUGGGCUCGUAUCCUAAGCUGACCCAAUGGUUUAAUCACCAGGACUAAAAAUGAGCAUAAGCAGUGAUGAAGUCAAUUUCCUGGUUUACAGAUACCUGCAAGAGUCAGGCUUCUCCCACUCAGCAUUCACCUUUGGCAUAGAGAGCCACAUCAGCCAGUCCAACAUCAAUGGAGCCCUUGUGCCCCCUGCUGCGCUCAUCUCCAUCAUCCAGAAAGGCCUGCAGUAUGUGGAGGCUGAAGUCAGCAUCAAUGAGGAUGGGACCUUAUUUGACGGGCGGCCCAUAGAGUCGCUAUCGCUGAUCGAUGCUGUAAUGCCAGAUGUAGUCCAAACCAGGCAGCAGGCCUACAGGGAGAAGCUGGCCCAGCAGCAGCAGCAGCAGGCAGCAAGCAGUGGCAGCGGCACAGGGCCCCAGGGAAGCACCAAGAAUGGAGAGGGCACUGCCAACGGGGAGGAAAACGGAUCCCACGCCUUAGCCAAUCACCACUUUGAGAUGAUGGAGAUGGACAUAGACGUGGAGAUCCCCCAGAGUAAAGCCAUGGUGCUGAGAGGACACGAAUCCGAAGUUUUUAUCUGUGCCUGGAACCCAGUGAACGACCUCCUUGCCUCUGGAUGAUGUGAAAAGGUUUGAUAGGGAUUUAAAAAGAUUUCGGAUUUGAUACUGGGUUCAGGUUCCAUAAAAUGCUUUCAAACCCCAACUCUACUCAAGAGCAACGAUGAUCCGGGGACUCGACAGCACGAAUCUGGAACCUGAGUGAGAACAGUACAGGCUCGUCCACUCAGCUAGUUCUAAGGCACUGCAUACGGGAAGGGGGUCAGGACGUACCCAGCAACAAAGACGUCACCUCACUAGACUGGAAUAGCGAAGGAACGCUGCUAGCAACGGGCUCAUAUGAUGGCUUUGCUAGAAUAUGGACAAAAGACGGUAACCUGGCCAGUACUUUGGGUCAGCAUAAAGGUCCUAUAUUUGCACUCAAGUGGAAUAAGAAAGGAAAUUUCAUCCUCAGUGCUGGUGUAGACAAGACCACAAUUAUUUGGGAUGCCCACACAGGAGAAGCAAAACAACAAUUUCCUUUCCACUCGGCACCUGCUCUGGACGUGGACUGGCAGAGCAACAACACGUUUGCCUCCUGCAGCACAGACAUGUGCAUCCAUGUGUGUAAGCUGGGUCAGGACAGACCUGUCAAGACCUUCCAGGGACACACGAAUGAGGUGAACGCCAUCAAGUGGGAUCCCACUGGCAGCUUGCUGGCUUCCUGCUCAGAUGACAUGACACUGAAGAUCUGGAGUAUGAAGCAGGACUUGUGUGUCCAUGACCUCCAGGCCCACAGUAAAGAAAUCUACACUAUCAAGUGGAGCCCCACAGGCCCUGGGACCAAUAGUCCCAGCGCCAACCUCAUGCUGGCCAGUGCAUCAUUUGACUCCACUGUGCGUCUAUGGGAUGUGGAGCGGGGGGUGUGUAUCCACACACUGACCCGCCACCAGGAGCCCGUCUACAGCGUGGCCUUCAGUCCUGAUGGCAGGCACCUCGCCAGUGGUUCCUUUGACAAGUGUGUCCACAUCUGGAACACUCAGACGGGUGCUUUAGUUCACAGCUACCGGGGGACAGGAGGAAUCUUCGAAGUGUGCUGGAACGCCACAGGGGACAAAGUAGGAGCCAGCGCGUCAGAUGGAUCGGUUUGCGUAUUAGACCUGAGGAAAUGACACUCGUGAGGGGGGAGCAAUGGACCGACUACGAAUGUGUACAUUGCCAAAAGGACCACACCUUCGCCACAUACAGUUGUUAUGCACAUGCAUCAGGUGUGUAUGGACACCUGUGCUGCUCUCACAGACCUGCGGGAGGAAACAUGUCUCUGUUAUUACACCGUACAAACUUGUCGGACCCAUCACAUGCAAACCAAAACCUUAGGAUUCUUCUUGCUUUCCUCUUUUUAUCCUUUGUACCAGAAUUCUGAAGAUGUGUUGUUCUCUGUUGGUGUGUGCAUAUUGCAUAUGUCAGCAUUUGAUGUCCUGUGGACAUUGUUGUUUUGAAUUUGGAUUUGACUGAUAUCUGCAGGUUUUAUAUUACUGUACAUGUGGGUGUGGGAGAGAAGAGGGGUCGGGGGUUAAGAAUGAUUUGUCUUUUACAAAGCUGUUCAUUGGGAGAUCGAUUCAUCCACUUUUCUGCAGUCUUUAUGGUUAAAAAAAUGCAGAUGUAUAGCUUAGAAGAUGAAAAUGGUUUAUAAUUUUGGUGACUAUUUCUAUCUAAUAGGUUUGUGUCAUAAUUUACAUUUUUUAACCAAGUAUAAAACAGUUAAUCAAAGGCUGAACUGUCCUUUGUUUUCGCAACUAUCCUCAGAAAUGUGUUUCAGGUGUUCACAAUUCAUCAGGUUAAUACAGAGCUCUAAAGAAUGGAAAGCCUCGGCUGAGAGAUACUCUUUGUAACUGUUAAACACCACGUCGAUCUCAUGUCCUAUCGGUCUGAUGAGCAGAAAGACGCCAACUCUGAUGUGCAGGUCUCCGUCACUGAACUCGUCCUGGAGCCGUCUCGAGCUUGCGAAUAGUUGGCUGAUGUGUUUUUGUGUCUGUCGUGAAGCAACGCGGUACAGGAGAGUCCUGCUUUCUGCCUUUGCUCUAUCUUCUGGGAUCUGUGGAGGGGGGGGAGGGGGGAGAUGUACAGGAAAACGCCCACAACUGCUCGCAUCCAUCUGACAUGAACAAUUGAGUCAUAAUUGUGCUUGUUUUCUCAAUGAAUGGCCUGUUGCUAACCAAUGCUGAAUGAUAAUCAGAUUAGGUCGUGCUAAUUGUGUCCUGUUUCCCCUGUGUGGUCAUCACCCAUCAGGACAUCGUCUGGAGUAUCACUUCCUGGCUGGAGUUUAUAUCACAGUUUGACAGCUUAAAAACAUCCCAACAUUUUUUUAAAGAUCACCUUUUUGGACUCACAAGAUAUGAGGCAGCAAAGGGCGAGCGAGAGCAAGAGAGGGGAAGGCUUAAAGAAAAGGGCCGAGGGUCGCUUUGGAACCCGGGCUGUGAAGCAUUGACUCAGCCUUGUUACAUGGGGACUUACUGCCUGGAACGUUUUCAUGUCCAGCAGGUACACACUACUGCUUCAGUGUUGUUGCCCAGCAUUUACACACACACACACACACACUCUGAUGACAGGCUGCAUUUAGGCCUGUGCACAGACAGACGGAGCUUUUGUUCGCAGUGUUCAAAGUUGGUGUCUUGAGGCAAGUCUGUGCUUGUUAAAUAGCAGCAUAUGACUUGAUGUAACAUGGUAUCUGCAUAUAAUAUAAUAUUAUAUAUGAAUAUAUCUGUGAAGUCACAGGGGACUCUUAUAUGCCACUCAUAUGCUAAUGGAGGCUUUUAAAGUUACUUCACGCUUGAAUUACAGUCGGUGAUGUUAUUGUGCAUCACCAAGGGGCCGUGACCAUGAGGAAUGUUUUUUUUAAAUAUAAAAUAUCGUUAAACAGUCAUAGAGAAAGGGUAGAGGCUAGAGAAAGCCCUUUUGAAGGGUGUUUUUGUCCCCCUGCCCUUUAGAUUUUAGAAACAGGGAGUUUAUUCAAGCCAUCGUAGACUCAUCUAAUUAAAAUGCUCGUAAAGAUGAAUCCGAAUUGGUGCAGAAAUAGUGCAGUGUGUUAAUAAGGGUGAGAAGUGUCCCGUCUGCCUCCUCGGGGUACGUGAGAGCUGAACCAAGCCAACUUGAUGGCGUUCCAGUUCUCAUCUCCCAGACAUAAGAACUAUCGGCUUGAUUCUCUCUCACACACACAUACACACAUAUAUACACACACGUGUCGGCGGUUACUCGUUUUGAAAAAUGUGCUGAAGCUACAGACUAUUUUGAAGUUUGCUUAAUGCAGUCAGCAGUGAUUGGAUCGUACCACAAAGACGCUAUUUCAAAUGAUGUCUAUGACAAUGGAAUGGUAUUUUAUAAUGUUUUGUUUUUAGAUGAUCAUCUUUUACACUCAAGUGUGUUUGCUAUUUUGUGUCCCUCCCGAAAGUACUAACGGUAAUUCUAUCUUUGCUAUGUCAGCGAGCCUUUGAAGGUUUUGUACUUGUCAAAACUUUUGUAAUAAUGAUUUAUUUGUAGCUACGUACACAAAAUGAAAAAAAUAAAAUAAAAUCUGGAUUUAAUUGUCAUUGUAUUGUCACACAGAACAUGUAAAUACCAGUUGGCAGAUCUCUUUUUGUCGUGUCGUGUCGUGUCUGCCUCACCUGUGUUGUGCUCUCGUUCUCUCUCACCUGGUCGCAGUCUGCAGCCUCCUGAUCUGUUGUAUUAUCACUCAGAUUUCAGAAGGUCUAGAAUAAAAUCUAUUUUGAUAAUA